This 425-nucleotide ribosomal RNA is filed under the name uncultured bacterium. Its description in RNAcentral is "partial 16S ribosomal RNA". It matches the Rfam family "Bacterial small subunit ribosomal RNA", at positions 354 to 796 of the family's 1533-position model. The record is from RNAcentral.
GUGGGGAAUCUUGCGCAAUGGGCGAAAGCCUGACGCAGCCAUGCCGCGUGAAUGAUGAAGGUCUUAGGAUUGUAAAAUUCUUUCACCGGGGACGAUAAUGACGGUACCCGGAGAAGAAGCCCCGGCUAACUUCGUGCCAGCAGCCGCGGUAAUACGAAGGGGGCUAGCGUUGCUCGGAAUUACUGGGCGUAAAGGGCGCGUAGGCGGACAGGUUAGUCAGAGGUGAAAGCCCAGGGAUCAACCUUGGAAUUGCCUUUGAUACUUGCUGUCUUGAGUACGGGAGAGGUGAGUGGAACUCCGAGUGUAGAGGUGAAAUUCGUAGAUAUUCGGAAGAACACCAGUGGCGAAGGCGACUCACUGGCCCGUUACUGACGCUGAGGCGCGAAAGCGUGGGGAGCAAACAGGAUUAGAAACCCCUGUAGUCC